Molecule: long non-coding RNA, 2159 nt
Organism: Daucus carota subsp. sativus
Lineage: Eukaryota; Viridiplantae; Streptophyta; Magnoliopsida; Apiales; Apiaceae
Exons: 3
Source: RefSeq, a predicted model, not a curated record
UUUAGAACAGGUCAUGUAAUGGUGACAGACUGACAGUGGACUAUCAGCCUUCAAAACAUCAACUUUUAUUCCAAACUUACAAUCUCAAGUAACUUGAGAUUACACUUUACACACUAUCAAGAUCUUCAAUUACACACUAUCAAAAUCUGAUAUUUUUCAAGAAAUUUGUACCCAUUUUUAUAUUCAUUCCUUGUAUAUGUCUGGACUUGAUAAGGAUCAAAAGGCCAAAAAGGGGUUUUGGUUUGAAUUCAGAAAGAUAUGGAGAAGGAAUCAGAUGUUUUCAAAUUUAGGUUCUUGCUGUUUUUUAGGACUUGGACCAUAGAUCCUGGUGUUUAAGAUAUGGAAUAGGUGAUAAUAGAGAAGAGAGCACCUGAGGAUUUGAUUGCUUCUUAGCUGGGAAUGUGAAGAUCAAACAGGAUCAGAUGGUCCAAAUAUAUUAGGAUUAGUAAUGUUGAUCCUGGUGAUGAACAUAUGGACAAUGUGGAACUGAAUUAGAGAGCACACAGCAGCAUUAGUGAAUGGUAGUAACUAUUAAAGAAAUAUAGGGAGGCAAGGCCAUUGCAGUUUGCAAUAGGACUAGUGCACUGCUGGUGGGGGCAUUUUGUUGAUGUCGGUUUCUGGAAGGAAAUGAUUAUGCCACAACAUGAAGUGCUUUAUAACUUUUAAAGCUAUUUAAGAUGUAUAUAUUUUCCUGUAGGGAUAAUAAUGACUAAUGUGGUAAAACUUUGUACUUUUUAGGCGUUUUGUUGAUUGUAGAACUGUAUUUAUUAUAUAGCCAACAACAAUAUUGCAUUUUAGUUUGUAUUUGUCGACAGAAAAUGUUAAUGGAAUCACUUGGUUCCAAUAUCUCAAAAUGUGAAGUAAAUAUUAAUGGAGUUAUGUUUACUUGUUAUUUAUUUUUAUCUUCGAUAAAUUGGCUACUGUGACUGUGCAUGCAUGCCGAAGAGCUGAUACUGUCAUAUUACUAGUUUGUCAGGUUGUGGUGAUGUGUACUGAUGGGGACCUGUUAUGAGACACAGUACCACACAUAUCCAAUGGUGUAGUUGAGGUUAGGAUGGUCUUUAUGAUCAAUAUAUUAGAGUGGUAAAUCCAUUAGAGUGGUAGCACAGAGAGGUCACAAAAUUAUCUGGAGUUUCGUUGAUUAUCACAUUCUCUGAUUCUUGUGUCUUUCUCUAUGUAACUAUGUUAUGCAUUUCUUAUAAAGUUUGUACAUAUCAUGGUGAAAAUAUGGAAUUUGUGGACCUAUAGAAAAGAAGACCUUGCGACAAUUGUUCAUUCUGUAUACCAUUCUCUUAACUUAAAUGGUAAUUAGUCUUGUAUACUUGUCAAGUGAAUUAUCUGGUUAUGCAUAUCAAAAUUCAAGCUCAACAGUUUUUUGGUAUUCUUAACAUCGCUUCUAGGCUUUAGCAGUUCCAGAGUUCGUUAGGAAAGUUUAUGCUACAAUGAGUAAAAUAUACAUAACCAAAUGUGACUAAAAUAUAUAAAUCUUGAAUUUGAUAUUAAUUCUAGCUAACAUUAUUCUGGCAGUGCAGAAAAGAUGUUCUGAAAACAUUUCAUAGUUCACUUGGCAAUGGUAAUAUUUUUUCAGUCCAAUAUUCUCUUAGUGUCUCCAACUAUGACACUCUUCAAGACAUUAUCAUUUUAAAGUUUUUUGGAUAGCAAAUAUGGUUCAUUGUAAUUUGUAUGUAUUUGAAAUUUGAACCCAUUUGUCAACCUAAUUCUCAUAAACCAGUUAAUUGAAAUAUACAAAAUCUGGGCUUAUGGACCCUUGAGAUCUUCAUAGAUCUUGUAGUGUUUACGUCAUCCAUUACAACCUUUGCUCUUAAAUUGGUAAUCAAAACUUGGCCUAAGGCGAUACUGCCUCUCAGUUUUGAUGCAUCCUUUAUAAUGAGAGAAGAGUUGUGCUGACUGGUUAAAGGGGUUUUGUAGAAAUUACUAAUUAUUUUUAGAGAUAAUGGCUAUUUAGAAUGUUGAACGACUUCAUUUUAUACGAGUAGUUAUAACGUGUGUUCUUACCUUAUGAUUUGGAGUAUUGCGUUUGUUUAAUAAGGAGUUUGUUAUAGCAUGGUGAAACUAUGACAAUCCCUCCUUGUGCCAAAAGGAGCCGGAGACGAUAGAACCUGUCUAUCCUUAUAAGGUCAGUCUGCACUGUAAUUUUC